Molecule: long non-coding RNA, 1514 nt
Organism: Larimichthys crocea (large yellow croaker)
Lineage: Eukaryota; Metazoa; Chordata; Actinopteri; Sciaenidae
Exons: 3
Source: RefSeq, a predicted model, not a curated record
AGUAGCAUAGAAUGGUGAAGUAUUUGAGUAAAUGUACUCAGUUACAUUCCACCACUGGUGUCCUGUACACACUAAAAUUCCCCUAAAGCAAACACCAGUACAUGCUACAGGCUUACCUUUCCUUUCCCAGUUUGCUAUUCACUUCCUUUUCUUACACCUGUUCCCAAUCCUCCAAUCAACUUCCCACCAUCAUAUAAACUCACUGUCACCUUCAGGUCCCCACCAGACUGUUUAUUAAGUGACAUUAAAUGCAAUUUUCUAUCAAACCAGUCCUGACUCCUUCUAUUGUUUGAUAUCAGCACCUUUUAAUUUUUCCCUUGUCACACUGAGUCGAUGUGACGUCCUGUCAGCAGUCCGAAAAGGCCACAUCAUGUUCUUUUUAAACCUUAACAGGGGCUCUCAUUUAAAAAAAACAACAUUUAUCUUUCUCUGUUCUUUGUGACCUUUAUAAAUCCCCCGUCCACACCGCCUAGACUUUGCUCAAAUUAUGCCUUAAUUACAUCAAAGCAAUUACAGAGCUGCUAUGAACAGAAGAGUUCAGACCUGAACCGGAGAACAAGCCUGUCUCUGGUGGCUCUGCACAGAAAAUAUAUAAAGAAGGGGAUGUCUUUUCAUUCUGGCUUCGCUUUGAGCAAUAAUUAGUCAGCACAACACAAACAGACUUUAACUAAUAAGAAAAUAUAAUUAACAACAGAAACAAGACAGGAAAAACAUGCCCAGAUAAAAUGUUUUAUGUUUCUUGGUGGCUUUUGUAAUGCUGACACCUUGUGGCGAAACACCUCAUUACAGCUCAUCCACCGCUCUUAUUUUGAAAUACACGGGCAAAAUGAGUAGAGGGUUUUAGCAGUGGUCAGUGUUCGUGUGAUUGGCUGAGUGCUGAUCAUGUGAUUGCAAGUUACACAAGGUGGAUGUGUUGGAAAAUAUCCCAGUGCACCGAGAGCAACAGAUUCUUGGACCUUUUAGACACUAGAUGGAGUCAUCAUCAUGCAAAACCCACACUGCUGCAGACAGUUCAAGGUUCAGCGUUACUUUAAAGGGUCCUCUUCUAUAACUCCAGUUCAAACCAUGGACGUCCAUCCUGUACUGGACCUUCUUGAUGAUGGGGAAUGCAGAGCUGAUCCAGGAGACUUUAGAGGCCAGAUCUCAUCACACUAGGCCUUCAGCUCUGAAUGUAAACAUCCUCAUAAUCCUCAGACAGACCCCUGAGUCCUCCGGAGCCCCUGAACCGAUCAUUCGUCUUCAAACACUCCCCUAAGCAUCUUUUUUUUUUUUUAGGAAAGGAGAGAUUUUUUUGGACGAUAGACGGAUGAUGGAGAUCUUUUUGAAGUGUUUGGUCCUCCUCCCCUCGAAGGUACACAGAUUACUUUUCUUUCACUUCUCCUGAUAGACGAAUGAGACCAACAAAAAGCUGCCAAACUUUCAGUCUAAAGGUUCAGGGUUAUUCUUUGUAUAGCAGCUUUAUUUCAGUCUAAAUUCUGUGCAUAGUAAACCGCUUUUAAUGUCCACGAUAGGCC